GUCUUCUAGAUAAACCUAUUAGAAGUCCGGCCUGCCCAGUGAGGAUUUAAACGGCCGCGGUAGCCUGACCGUGCUAAGGUAGCGCAAUCACUUGCCCUUUAAUUGGGGGCUAGUAUGAAUGGCCAGACAAGGGCUUAACUGUCUCAAAAACCCAACUGGAAAUUGACCUUUAGGUGCAGAGGCCUAAAUAUAAGUGAAAGACAAGAAGACCCUAUCGAGCUUUAAUUUUUAUUAUUCUACAUAAAUAAGAUAAAUUUUUAUUGGGGCAAUAAAGGAGCAACCAAAACCUCCUUUAACCUUAAUCGUUAAACAGAACCAUAAUAGAAACAUUUUUAAUGCACACAGGUAUAAGCUACCGUAGGGAUAACAGACUAAUUUUCCUUGAGAGUCCACAUUGACAGGAAAGUUUGGCACCUCGAUGUUGGCUUAAAAAAACAGUUAUUGAAGCAGCACUCUAACUUUGUAGGUUUGUUCAACCUUUAAAAUUUUA
Molecule: ribosomal RNA, 490 nt
Filed under: Phascolosoma scolops
Lineage: Eukaryota; Metazoa; Annelida; Sipuncula; Phascolosomatiformes; Phascolosomatidae
Description: partial 16S ribosomal RNA
Rfam family: Bacterial large subunit ribosomal RNA
Source: RNAcentral